UAAUACGGAGGGUGCAAGCGUUAUUCGGAAUUACUGGGCGUAAAGGGCGCGUAGGCGGCUCUUUAAGUCAGGCGUGAAAGCCCAGGGCUUAACCCUGGAAGUGCGUUUGAAACUGAAGAGCUUGGGUACGGGAGAGGGAAGUGGAAUUCCUGGUGUAGAGGUGAAAUUCGUAGAUAUCAGGAGGAACACCGGUGGCGAAGGCGACUUCCUGGACCGAUACUGACGCUGAGGCGCGAAAGCGUGGGGAGCAAACAGGAUUAGAGACCCUGGUAGUCCACGCCGUAAACGAUGAACACUAGGUGUAGCGGGUAUUGACCCCUGCUGUGCCGCAGCUAACGCAUUAAGUGUUCCGCCUGGGGACUACGGUCGCAAGGCUA
This 377-nucleotide ribosomal RNA is filed under the name uncultured bacterium. RNAcentral describes it as "bacterial SSU rRNA". It matches the Rfam family "Bacterial small subunit ribosomal RNA", at positions 521 to 896 of the family's 1533-position model. The record is from RNAcentral.